CACAAAACACAAUAAUCUUAGAUACAAUUAUAAGAUAUAAUUGCUCACUUAAACAUACAAAGCCUGGUACCAUCCAUCCCUUAGGAACAUUGAUAACAACCUGUAAAUACACAGUGCAAAAUCUUUAUGUCAGCCUCCAUUGUCCUGCCACGGCUUCUCUCUCUCCUCUCCUCCCCCCGUCUCUUCCUUUCUCUUCUAGUCUCCUCCUCUUCCUUCAAACUUCUCUCCUGCCCAUCCUUCCUUCUCCUCCAAUGACAGGACUCCUUCUAUCCAGUACCUGCCCCUCACCUUUACUUAACAAAUUCAAUGGGGAGAAGGUUCUGGUGAAGUCACCUGAUUCCUGAGUAUGUUACUAGGCAGCUGUCCUUGGGGCAGUGGAAUUAGCAUUAAAAUACAGAUAACUUCAGGGCAAACCACAACAAUGCUGUUUCGUGACUUUUACUUGAUGGUUUUUGACUUUGUAUUUCUAUUCCUUUGCAUAUGGCAGAGUUGUAUCAUUGAUAACAUCUUACAAAUCUAUAUUUUGAUCAUAUAGUAUGAUCUUGUGGUGGGAGAUUUGCUUUGUAAAUAUCCAUCUCUGUCUGAGGCUAGACUUCUAGGCUCAUGUCCCUAUUCAAAUAUUUAAAAUACAACCUGGGACCUGUAAACAAUAGAGACUUCAGAAUGGCAGCAUAUGUGGAGUGCCAGUUGUGUUCUAGCUUGUGUUGUCUUUGAGCAUUAACUGCAGCUGUGUGUAGGUUGUUAGUAAAAUGAUAUUUUAAAUCUUUUUAAUAUGUAGAGUAAUUUCUUCCAAGAAAUGCAUGCUAUUUCUAGAACAACUACUUCCAGUCUAGAAUGAUAUUUGUAAGAAAAACUCCUUUAGGUGGACCUUGAUUCCAUUGUUCUUCCACGGGGCAGUAAUGUGUUGUCUCCUAGACUAACCUAGCUAAAAUCUUAAAUUAGCUGGCUUUACCACCACUCAGUAUUAUAAUUACCUGUUUGAGUCAUGUUGUCAUGACUCAACAUGAGUAAGGAUUUUA
RNAcentral lists this long non-coding RNA (1019 nucleotides) under Rattus norvegicus (Norway rat). Its description in RNAcentral is "long non-coding RNA NONRATT012696". The record is from RNAcentral. Lineage: Eukaryota; Metazoa; Chordata; Mammalia; Rodentia; Muridae.